This 1472-nucleotide long non-coding RNA is filed under the name Equus caballus (horse). Its description in RNAcentral is "lncRNA (ENSECAG00000052534.1)". The record is from RNAcentral. Lineage: Eukaryota; Metazoa; Chordata; Mammalia; Perissodactyla; Equidae.
GGUCUGCCAGCGCUGGGCAGGACAGACGCCGCGGGCCACACUCCCGACCUGAACUCUCCUGGGCCCACUCCCGGCCAAACCUAGCGAAGCGCUGCACGAUGAAGAAGUUGAGGCACGGAGGGAGCAAAUAGCCUGCGGACACAGUGUGGUGCAGGGAGAGGGGCGCUAACCAAGCAGGCUGACUGCGAGCCGCGUUCUGCACGCCAUCCGUGCCACAGGCUGGAAGAGCCAGCACGCCUCCAGCUCCAGCUCACCUGUGGACGCAGCCUUUCUCUCAAGUAUCCUGAAGCGCUUCAAGUGAGUGGCCUAAUUGUCACAGCGAUGGGGGAACGAGGAAAAGGAGCUACAGUACAGUACUAUCUAGUUUAUGGUGGAAGGAACUAAGAUUCCAACACGGAACAUUUUGUUGCAAGUCCCCAGCAAAGACCCAGACUUCAGACGACAGUGACGUUGACAGCGUCCAGCCGCGGUCGUGUCAGAUGAAGCUGGCUUGGAGACGGCUGAGGUUUGCUGCCCUAGAGGCCACAGUCUUUAGGAAGGAAAGACCUUGUGAACAAGAGGCAGUAGUGACUGGAUGCCUGACGGUGUGAUUUGGAGGUUGCGGAGUGACUCCCAGAGCAAGGAUAGGGCCUGGGCCCUCUGAGCAUGCUCAGGGGAAGUAACUGCGGGGAGGCAGGCAAAAAGAAUCAGGGGACUUAAAUGAUUUAAUUGAGUGGUAGAAAAAGUAUAAUAGUGAAAGAACCGAUUUGUCCCUACUUUGUAUUGAAAUUCCAUUUGACUGCUAACUGGAUUUCUCUCCAGUGUUCUGCCCAUCGCCCCUCCCACAACGUCAUUACCGCUGUGGUCAUCCUCACUAGUAUUUCUGGUGUAUACCCUGGGAGCACCGGAGUUUAGUUUAAUCUGACUCGGCCUCACUAACUCCUGGAAGGAUUCCCCUUAGGGUGCCAUCUCUGCCCAGUCCCUCCUUACAGAGUCUGGGAGCGGGUGGAAGGGACCCUCAUUGGAAGUGCUCUGUUCUGCCCUUGGAUCGAUUUUUCAUGGGUGUACAUCUCUCUGUGGGCAAUGACCUCAUAGGGUAGCUCCAUUCCUUUUUCCGAAUGGGCUAGUACAGAGGACAGGGCAAAGUUCUCAUAAAACUUCUAAUAUCAAGGAGAGUAGCAACAUUAGAAAUGAAAAUAUAGGGGCCGGCCCGGUGGUGCAGCAGUUAAGUUUGCACGUUCUGCUUCACUGGCCGGGGUUUGCCAGUUCGGAUCCCGGGUGAGGACAUGGCACCGCUUGGCAAGCCAUGCUGUGGUAGGUGUCCCACAUAUAAAGUAGAGGAAAUGGGCACGGAUGUUAGCUCAGGGCCAGUCUUCCUCAGCAAAAACAGGAGGAUUGGCAGCAGUUAGCUCAGGGCUAAUCUUCCUCAAAAAAAAAAAAAAAAAAAGAAGUGAAAAGAUAGAAAAAGUAUGAAAAUAUAUAUAAAAAAGGAA